This 639-nucleotide ribosomal RNA is filed under the name uncultured bacterium. RNAcentral's name for it is "bacterial SSU rRNA". It matches the Rfam family "Bacterial small subunit ribosomal RNA", at positions 232 to 885 of the family's 1533-position model. The record is from RNAcentral.
CGCGGCCUAUCAGCUUGUUGGUGGGGUAACGGCCUACCAAGGCAUCGACGGGUAGCUGGUCUGAGAGGACGAUCAGCCACACUGGGACUGAGACACGGCCCAGACUCCUACGGGAGGCAGCAGUGGGGAAUAUUGCGCAAUGGGCGAAAGCCUGACGCAGCAACGCCGCGUGGGGGAUGACGGCUUUCGGGUUGUAAACCCCUUUCAGUGAUGACGAAAAUGACGGUAAUCACAGAAGAAGCCCCGGCCAACUACGUGCCAGCAGCCGCGGUAACACGUAGGGGGCGAGCGUUGUCCGGAUUUAUUGGGCGUAAAGAGCUCGUAGGCGGUUGCGUAAGUCGGAUGUGAAAACUCAGGGCUCAACCCUGAGCCGCCAUCCGAUACUGCGCUGACUAGAGUCCGGUAGGGGAGCAUGGAAUUCCUGGUGUAGCGGUGAAAUGCGCAGAUAUCAGGAGGAACACCAGUAGCGAAGGCGGUGCUCUGGGCCGGUACUGACGCUGAGGAGCGAAAGCAUGGGUAGCAAACAGGAUUAGAUACCCUGGUAGUCCAUGCCGUAAACGUUGGGCACUAGGUGUGGGACCUACUUAACGGGUUCCGUGCCGUAGCUAACGCAUUAAGUGCCCCGCCUGGGGAGUACGG